UUUCACGACUAACCUAGGUCGUUCCCUUUCCUCAACCUCCCCUUCUCCUCUCGAGCCCUCCCAUGCCGGCCGCCGUCGCUCGUUAGUCGUUGCCACUCCUUUGCACGGCUGCGACCUACCUGCAUCCCUGCACGCCGCCCUCACCACUCCCCUGUGAUCCUCUGUCCCGGCGCCGCUCCUCACCGCUGCCCUGCGACCCUCCGUCCUAGCGCGCCGCCCCUUGUCACCACCCCUGCAGCCCUGCAUCCCGGCGUGCCGCCCCUCGUAACCGCUCCGCUGCGACCAAUGGUGAAUCCAAGGUACGGCCAUGAACAAGCACAGGCAACCGCAUCCCUCGUUCCACAUCCGUAGCCCCUCGCGAUACAAAUGCAUCACCCACAUCUGUAGCCCCGUUCGUCCUCCUCCAGUGCUCCUCCUCCUAAUUGUUCUCCACUAUUCACGUGUCCUCCAUGUAAAACGAUCCAGGAAGCCUCUCCCCUUUUUUUGCGAAUAGGAAUCCUCUCCCUGAUCCCUGCUCUGCAACCUUUUAAUAUCCACUGCACCAGGACAUCCUUCCAAUUUCGCAUUCCGUGCCCAACCAAAACUGAAAUCCAAUGCAGUGGAGAAGGCGGUACAUCAAAGACAGUUUCUAUCUGAUUGGACAGCCCCUAUUGUUGGUGAAGUUGCCGAGAAGAGGAACUAUUUCUGGCGGGUUGCAGGUACAGAAGGAGCAAGAAGAGAACAUCUGAAGAUACAUAUUACUUGGAUGGCUAAAUUUGUGCUAUACAAGCAAUUAGGUGAUUCAGUUCAGCGAAGGCGUGGUCGUACCUCUGCACAGCAAACUCAAGCACCACUUCUAAUAUUGUUGGAAAGUGGAUAAGUCGGUUUGGAGCAGUACAUGAUUUGUUCAAUCUACUUCGCUAUGUUCCUUACAUGCAAAAGGAAAAGGUCAGUAACAAAAAAAGGAAGCUCACUGAGCACGUCAUUACAGAUCACCUAACGAAAGCCCAGGCGAUGAAGAGGAUAAUCAAGUUGAGAGCCCCCACCGAGGACGUAUAAUGGCUGAAUGAACUUCUCAUCUGCACUUUGGCUACAUCCCGUGCCUCCAGGUGUGUAGGUAUUGGCUUCAUACUGUUCUAUUUUAUGCACGCCCGUACUGGACUAGAGGUUUGAUUUCUAGGGCAAUUUCUUAUUUACUACUUUACACCUUUUUGCAUGAUGCAUGGAUGAGGAGCUCAUAUAAGUUUGGAGAGCAUGGAUCAUAUGAUUAGUUUCAGUGGGGCUAAGCUAAAAGAGGAUUAAUGAUGCUUACAAUACGUAUAUACACAGCCACGCAUUUUUUAUAUUGGUUCAAAACAUAAAUGGAUGAUUAUAUGGGUAUGUGGCAAAUAUACUGAUGAUGAUAAUGAUGAUGAUGAUGAUGAUGAUGAUGAUGAUGAUGAUGGAUGCUUUCAAUUUUAGUUAAGUUGUAGGACUGAUGUUCCUCUGUUAAGUUUUAGUUAAGUUGUAGUGAUGUUGAGGGAUGCUUUUGGUUUACAUUUUGUUUUCAAGAAAAUAUUUAGAUUAUGCAUCACAUUUGGAUGAUGUUCCUUAUGUAAUAUCCACUGUUGUAAUCCAACAAUUUUAUAUAAUAUAUGAUUUCUUCCUCCCGUGAGUA
This is a long non-coding RNA of Triticum aestivum (bread wheat), 1636 nucleotides long. RefSeq lists it as uncharacterized. NCBI's taxonomy places the organism in Eukaryota, Viridiplantae, Streptophyta, Magnoliopsida, Poales, Poaceae. The record is from RefSeq and is a predicted model, not a curated record. The transcript is spliced from 4 exons.